Camellia sinensis is the source of this 362-nucleotide non-coding RNA. The record is from RefSeq and is a predicted model, not a curated record. NCBI's taxonomy places the organism in Eukaryota, Viridiplantae, Streptophyta, Magnoliopsida, Ericales, Theaceae.
CCCAUCUGAGCAACCGAAACAGACUGUUCAUUCUUUCUGUAAAAUUUUAACUGCAUCUGAUACUAGCACCCAUGGAGGGUUUUCUGUUCUUCGGAAGCAUGCCAACGAAUGCCUGCCACAAUUGGACAUGACCCAGUCAACCCCAACCCAGGAUUUGGUUGCCAAAGAUCUUCAUGGGCAUGAGUGGCGAUUUAAGCAUAUAUUCAGAGGCAAGUCCCACCCUUCUUGCCAUUUGCUUCGUGCCUUUUUGCCAUGUUGUCGUUUAAUUCAGGUCAACCUCGAAGACAUUUGCUUACGACAGGCUGGAGUACUUUUGUGACUUCCAAAAGAUUAGUUGCAGGGGAUGCUUUUGUUUUCCUGAG